RNAcentral lists this long non-coding RNA (248 nucleotides) under Setaria viridis. RNAcentral's name for it is "long non-coding RNA (SVIR_LNC004569)". Lineage: Eukaryota; Viridiplantae; Streptophyta; Magnoliopsida; Poales; Poaceae. The record is from RNAcentral.
CAUCGAAAAAGUCCUUCAUCCUGCAAUAUUUGUGUUUCUUCAAUAAGAAGCGCCUAUGCCUCAUGAACAUUGUCUUCAUAGAUUCCUUAAGGUACACAUAUGAUGUUCCAUCCAAGCAAACUACGCAUGUUAUCUUACCUUUUACCUUACCUAUUAGGCUAUUAGGGCAAAUAGGGCGGGAUAAUCAUUGAUGGUAACAAAGAUAAUAGCCCUUAGUGUGAAGUGCUCAUGCUUUUACUCAUCCCACA